Molecule: ribosomal RNA, 483 nt
Filed under: uncultured bacterium
Lineage: Bacteria
Description: partial 16S ribosomal RNA
Rfam family: Bacterial small subunit ribosomal RNA
Source: RNAcentral
UUGAACGCUGGCGGCAGGCCUCACACAUGCAAGUCGAGCGGAUGAAGGGAGCUUGCUCCUGGAUUCAGCGGCGGGCGGGUGAGUAAUGCCUAGGAAUCUGCCUGGUAGUGGGGGAUAACGUCCGGAAACGGGCGCUAAUACCGCAUACGUCCUGAGGGAGAAAGUGGGGGAUCUUCGGACCUCACGCUAUCAGAUGAGCCUAGGUCGGAUUAGCUAGUUGGUGGGGUAAAGGCCUACCAAGGCGACGAUCCGUAACUGGUCUGAGAGGAUGAUCAGUCACACUGGAACUGAGACACGGUCCAGACUCCUACGGGAGGCAGCAGUGGGGAAUAUUGGACAAUGGGCGAAAGCCUGAUCCAGCCAUGCCGCGUGUGUGAAGAAGGUCUUCGGAUUGUAAAGCACUUUAAGUUGGGAGGAAGGGCAGUAAGUUAAUACCUUGCUGUUUUGACGUUACCAACAGAAUAAGCACCGGCUAACUUCGUG